UGUAUGUAUGUACGUUGAUUUGUAUACAGCUAAACUUUUCGUGUUUAAGGUUUUGUAUUUCAUUUACGACAUUAUACCUGAUAAUCAAAUAAAUACAGUAAACGCGUUACAUUUUCGUCUUCGUGACACGUCACUGGUACACUUGUAAUCGUCGUGAAUAAUGAUCAAUGAUAAUGGAAUCAAAAGAAAUCAAUGGAAAUUAUCAAUGAUAAAACUUAAUUCGAACAUCAAUGUAAGAUUAUUUCAGUUGGGUACACGGAAAAUACUCAAUCAUAGUAGAUACAAUGUCAAGUUCACUAUCAUCUGUGGAUGUAGAUGGUGCUGGAGGGAUUUUAACUUCACCUAAUACAGUAUUAUCUGGUAUAAUUGUAUCUACUACUGGAAUACAAAAUUCGUUUGAAUCUACA
Molecule: long non-coding RNA, 407 nt
Organism: Acyrthosiphon pisum (pea aphid)
Lineage: Eukaryota; Metazoa; Arthropoda; Insecta; Hemiptera; Aphididae
Exons: 3
Source: RefSeq, a predicted model, not a curated record